RNAcentral lists this transfer RNA (71 nucleotides) under Colletotrichum spaethianum. It matches the Rfam family "tRNA". Rfam says of the family: Transfer RNA (tRNA) molecules are approximately 80 nucleotides in length. Lineage: Eukaryota; Fungi; Ascomycota; Sordariomycetes; Glomerellales; Glomerellaceae. The record is from Rfam by way of RNAcentral.
GCUUUUAUAGCUCAAUGGUAGAGCAUAAUACUGUUAAUAUUAUGAUAGAGGUUCGAUUCCUCUUAAGGGCU